Non-coding RNA from Pelobates cultripes (western spadefoot toad), 259 nucleotides. NCBI's taxonomy places the organism in Eukaryota, Metazoa, Chordata, Amphibia, Anura, Pelobatidae. The record is from the annotation of a GenBank genome assembly.
AAAAAAAAACACAAACUGUUUUCAAAGAGAGAGAGGGGCUAAUUUAAUCAGGCACACUGAUACACACAUGCAUACACACAGAUAAAUACACAGGCGCACACUUACACACAUGCAGAUACACACACACACUUCCUUUCCUCCCAGCACUGACAUAAUCACAGGGGCCCGUUUGCACUAUUUAAGAGCCACAGCGCUGAACGGGCCAUUGAAGAUGCUAUGCUAUUGGGUGGCUCACUUAGAUGCUCAGAGCUACCGAUUG